UACGGAUUCGACAGGGGUAGUUUGAGCUCAGGUCGCACGUCGAGGUUACGACUCGUAAACCGUUAUUCGCCUAAAUAUAACUGGCAAAGAAAACAAUUACUCUUUAGCAGCUGCGUAAGUAGCACUAAAGGAUCCUUCCUGUCACUCGCCCGUGGUGCAGAUUGAAGGGUCUCAACUGAAGCGGGCUAUGCUGGUAUCCUCCGUCUGAGGAUCUCCAGGUGAACUGAAUCAGACUAGCUAUCUGAAAGCCUGUUGAUAGGCUGCAGGAUUAGCGAAUGAUAAUAUAUCAACUACGCGUGUAGAAGCCUGAGUGCCGAUAUCUCUGGACGUGGGUUCGAUUA
RNAcentral lists this transfer-messenger RNA (341 nucleotides) under Oceanobacillus profundus. It matches the Rfam family "transfer-messenger RNA". Rfam says of the family: Bacterial tmRNA, also known as 10Sa RNA or SsrA, is named for its dual tRNA and mRNA-like properties. Its role is to liberate the mRNA from a stalled ribosome. Lineage: Bacteria; Bacillati; Bacillota; Bacilli; Caryophanales; Bacillaceae. The record is from Rfam by way of RNAcentral. RNAcentral also lists the same sequence under 1 other name.